UCGAACGGCAGCACAGCCGGGGCAACCCGGUGGGUGGCGAGUGGCGGACGGGUGAGGAAUACAUGGGAAUCUGCCCUGUCGUGGGGGAUAACGUAGGGAAACUUACGCUAAUACCGCAUACGACCGGAAGGUGAAAGCGGCGGACCGCAAGGCGUCGCGCGACUGGAUGAGCCCAUGUCGGAUUAGCUAGUUGGCGGGGUAAAGGCCCACCAAGGCGACGAUCCGUAGCUGGUCUGAGAGGAUGAUCAGCCACACUGGAACUGAGACACGGUCCAAACUCCUACGGGAGGCAGCAGUGGGGAAUAUUGGACAAUGGGCGCAAGCCUGAUCCAGCCAUGCCACGUGAGUGAAGAAGGCCUUCGGGUUGUAAAGCUCUUUUGUCCGGAAAGAAAAGCCUUCGGUUAAUACCCGGGGGUGAUGACGGUACCGGAAGAAUAAGCACCGGCUAACUUCGUGCCAGCAGCCGCGGUAAUACGAAGGGUGCAAGCGUUA
RNAcentral lists this ribosomal RNA (492 nucleotides) under uncultured bacterium. RNAcentral's name for it is "bacterial SSU rRNA". It matches the Rfam family "Bacterial small subunit ribosomal RNA", at positions 62 to 543 of the family's 1533-position model. The record is from RNAcentral.